GGGAGGCAGCAGUGGGGAAUUUUGGACAAUGGGGGAAACCCUGAUCCAGCCAUCCCGCGUGUGCGAUGAAGGCCUUCGGGUUGUAAAGCACUUUUGGCAGGAAAGAAACGUCAUGGGUUAAUACCCCGUGAAACUGACGGUACCUGCAGAAUAAGCACCGGCUAACUACGUGCCAGCAGCCGCGGUAAUACGUAGGGUGCAAGCGUUAAUCGGAAUUACUGGGCGUAAAGCGUGCGCAGGCGGUUCGGAAAGAAAGAUGUGAAAUCCCAGAGCUUAACUUUGGAACCGCAUUUUUAACUACCGGGCUAGAGUGUGUCAGAGGGAGGUGGAAUUCCGCGUGUAGCAGUGAAAUGCGUAGAUAUGCGGAGGAACACCGAUGGCGAAGGCAGCCUCCUGGGAUAACACUGUCGCUCAUGCACGAAAGCGUGGGGAGCAAACAGGAUUAGAUACCCUGGUAGUCCACGCCCUAAACGAUGUCAACUAGCUGUUGGGGCCUUCGGGCCUUAGUAGCGCAGCUAACGCGUGAAGUUGACCGCCAGGGGAGUACGGUCGCAAGAUUAAAACUCAAAUGAAUUGACGG
This 580-nucleotide ribosomal RNA is filed under the name uncultured beta proteobacterium. RNAcentral's name for it is "bacterial SSU rRNA". It matches the Rfam family "Bacterial small subunit ribosomal RNA", at positions 343 to 916 of the family's 1533-position model. Lineage: Bacteria; Pseudomonadati; Pseudomonadota; Betaproteobacteria. The record is from RNAcentral.